GAGUCGAGCGGAGAGAAGAGCUUGCUCUUCGAUUCAGCGGCGGACGGGUGAGUAAUGCCUAGGAAUCUGCCUGGUAGUGGGGGACAACGUUUCGAAAGGAACGCUAAUACCGCAUACGUCCUACGGGAGAAAGCAGGGGACCUUCGGGCCUUGCGCUAUCAGAUGAGCCUAGGUCGGAUUAGCUAGUUGGUGAGGUAAUGGCUCACCAAGGCGACGAUCCGUAACUGGUCUGAGAGGAUGAUCAGUCACACUGGAACUGAGACACGGUCCAGACUCCUACGGGAGGCAGCAGUGGGGAAUAUUGGACAAUGGGCGAAAGCCUGAUCCAGCCAUGCCGCGUGUGUGAAGAAGGUCUUCGGAUUGUAAAGCACUUUAAGUUGGGAGGAAGGGCAGUAAGAUAAUACCUUGCUGUUUUGACGUUACCGACAGAAUAAGCACCGGCUAACUCUGUGCCAGCAGCCGCGGUAAUACAGAGGGUGCAAGCGUUAAUCGGAAUUACUGGGCGUAAAGCGCGCGUAGGUGGUUUGUUAAGUUGGAUGUGAAAGCCCCGGGCUCAACCUGGGAACUGCAUCCAAAACUGGCAAGCUAGAGUACGGUAGAGGGUGGUGGAAUUUCCUGUGUAGCGGUGAAAUGCGUAGAUAUAGGAAGGAACACCAGUGGCGAAGCGACCACCUGGACUGAUACUGACACUGAGGUGCGAAAGCGUGGGAGCAAACAGGAUAGAUACCCUGGUAGUCCACGCCGUAAACGAUGUCAACUAGCCUUGGAAUCCUUGAGAUUUUAGUGCGCAGCUACGCAUUAAGUUGACGCCUGGGGAGUACGGCCGCAGUUAAAACUCAAAUGAAUUGACGGGGCCCGCACAAGCGGUGGACAUGUGGUUUAAUUCGAAGCAACGCAACCUACCGCCUUGACUGCAGAAAUUUCUAAUGAUUGGCCUCGGGACUCUGACCUGCAGGUGUCCAGCUCCGGAGGGGAUCCCAAGCCGCCCUGGUGGUACGAACA
This 1002-nucleotide ribosomal RNA is filed under the name Pseudomonas sp. YSA5_1F12. RNAcentral's name for it is "bacterial SSU rRNA". It matches the Rfam family "Bacterial small subunit ribosomal RNA", at positions 59 to 1218 of the family's 1533-position model. Lineage: Bacteria; Pseudomonadati; Pseudomonadota; Gammaproteobacteria; Pseudomonadales; Pseudomonadaceae. The record is from RNAcentral.